Molecule: long non-coding RNA, 880 nt
Organism: Peromyscus californicus insignis
Lineage: Eukaryota; Metazoa; Chordata; Mammalia; Rodentia; Cricetidae
Exons: 3
Source: RefSeq, a predicted model, not a curated record
UUGGCACCUGCGUCAGAUGCCAGCCGGCAAGGGUGCGGAGAGAGAGUGAGGGACCUUGAGCGGUGCUGCCCGCGUCCUCAGCUCAGUGAGCCCCCUCUGGCACCGCGAGGAGAGGUGGUUGUUUCCUGGCUUCUGUGACUCCUUAGUGGGGAGCAAGCUCUGGCCUGAGACCAGCCGGCCCGACAGAGGAGAGGGGUGGAAGGAACUGAAGCAGAGCUUCAUGUCUCGGAGCCUUGGUUUACUCAGAAGUGUCACCCUCUCACGGAGUGACUGUGAGCAUUAGAUGAGCUUACGUCACCAGAAAGCACUUAGAUCAUUUCAGAAUAGGUCCUGUCUCAGAACAAACCAUCCACAAAGUCAAGUGACAAGUGACACAUAAGGAGGAAAUGCCUGCCCAUGCAUCCUGGAAAUUGAGAAGAAAAAGGGCAAACCCUGAGGAAAGUCUCUGUGAACACAUGCACAGUGAGUUCCAGGACACACUUCAUUAUUUUUGUUUGUUUUGUUUUAUAGUUUUCAUCUUAACCUACUAGUUUUCCACACCAGUUUUCCAGAUACACAGAUCACACAAAGAAUGUAGGAUACAUUGUAAAGUGAAAAGUCACACAGACACAGUGUUAUCCUCCAAGUAAGAAAGAAACAACAGUGUGAAAGAGUAGAGUUGACAUUCUUUUUAAUAGUUUCAACAUCUUGCUGAGUGACUAAUAUUUUCGUUAGUCUCUGCCACCUGUUCAUUGAAAACUUUUGGAUGAAAGUACUCUAAAAUUUUCCAUACCUCUAACAUAAAGCGUUUUUCCACUAUAAAACUUGCCUAACUUUCUACCUUCAUGUAGUCAGUGUCAGAAUUUUCCAGAUUUUAAUCUCUUUUGCCAUCUGUAAAUAA